UACGGAGGUGGCAAGCGUUACUCGGAAUCAUUGGGUGUAAAGGGCAUGUAGGCGGUUAUGUAAGUCGAAUGUGAAAUCCCUUGGCUCAACCAAAGAACUGCAUUCGAAACUGCAUGGCUUGAGCACGGCAGGGGAGAGCGGAAUUCCCGGUGUAAGGGUGAAAUCUGUAGAGAUCGGGAGGAACACCAGUGGCGAAAGCGGCUCUCUGGGUCGAGGCUGACGCUGAAAUGCGAAAGCUAGGGGAG
RNAcentral lists this ribosomal RNA (245 nucleotides) under uncultured bacterium. RNAcentral's name for it is "partial 16S ribosomal RNA". It matches the Rfam family "Bacterial small subunit ribosomal RNA", at positions 524 to 768 of the family's 1533-position model. The record is from RNAcentral.